GGGGAUGGAUUGGGCCUGGUGGCUUGCCCGGACUUCAAAUCCGACGGGACGUAAUGACCUUGCGUUCGGUGGGUUCGAUUCCCACACAUUCCCGCCA
RNAcentral lists this transfer RNA (97 nucleotides) under Bacillota bacterium LX-D. RNAcentral's name for it is "tRNA-Sec". It matches the Rfam family "Selenocysteine transfer RNA". Lineage: Bacteria; Bacillati; Bacillota. The record is from RNAcentral.